CAAUAGCGUAUAUUAAAGUUGUUGCAGUUAAAAAGCUCGUAGUUGGACUUCUGCGGGUGGCGGCCGGUCGUGCUCGAAACGGGCGUGAACUUGGCGUGCUGCCCGCAUCUUUGGGGAGAUUGUGCGUGGCAUUAAGUUGUCGUGCAUGGGAUUCUCAUCAUUUACUGUGAAAAAAUUAGAGUGUUUAAAGCAGGCCUUUGCCUUGAAUACAUUAGCAUGGAAUAAUAAGAUAGGACCGUUGUCUAUUUUGUUGGUUUACAGAUGUCGGUAAUGAUUAAUAGGGAUAGUUGGGGGUAUUCGUAUUCAGUUGUCAGAGGUGAAAUUCUUGGAUUUUCGGAAGACGCACGACUGCGAAAGCAUUUGCCAAGGAUGUUUUCAUUAA
RNAcentral lists this ribosomal RNA (382 nucleotides) under uncultured eukaryote. RNAcentral describes it as "partial 18S ribosomal RNA". It matches the Rfam family "Eukaryotic small subunit ribosomal RNA", at positions 592 to 976 of the family's 1831-position model. The record is from RNAcentral.